Molecule: ribosomal RNA, 468 nt
Filed under: uncultured bacterium
Lineage: Bacteria
Description: partial 16S ribosomal RNA
Rfam family: Bacterial small subunit ribosomal RNA
Source: RNAcentral
GACGAACGCUGGCGGCGUGCUUAACACAUGCAAGUCGAACGGAAAGGCCCUGCUUUUGUGGGGUGCUCGAGUGGCGAACGGGUGAGUAACACGUGAGUAACCUGCCCUUGACUUUGGGAUAACUUCAGGAAACUGGGGCUAAUACCGGAUAGGAGCUCCUGCUGCAUGGUGGGGGUUGGACAGUUUCGGCGGUUGGGGAUGGACUCGCGGCUUAUCAGCUUGUUGGUGGGGUAGUGGCUUACCAAGGCUUUGACGGGUAGCCGGCCUGAGAGGGUGACCGGCCACAUUGGGACUGAGAUACGGCCCAGACUCCUACGGGAGGCAGCAGUGGGGAAUAUUGCACAAUGGGCGGAAGCCUGAUGCAGCAACGCCGCGUGCGGGAUGACGGCCUUCGGGUUGUAAACCGCUUUCGCCUGUUACGAAGCGUGAGUGACGGUAAUGGGUAAAGAAGCACCGGCUAACUACGUG